This 65-nucleotide transfer RNA is filed under the name Oryzias latipes (Japanese medaka). Its description in RNAcentral is "tRNA-Cys". The record is from RNAcentral. Lineage: Eukaryota; Metazoa; Chordata; Actinopteri; Beloniformes; Adrianichthyidae.
AGCCCUGAGGUGUUAUCACGUAAGAUUGCAAAUCUUAAGUAGCAGGUUAUCACCUGCCGGGGCUU